Cuculus canorus (common cuckoo) is the source of this 683-nucleotide long non-coding RNA. RefSeq lists it as uncharacterized. NCBI's taxonomy places the organism in Eukaryota, Metazoa, Chordata, Aves, Cuculiformes, Cuculidae. The record is from RefSeq and is a predicted model, not a curated record. The transcript has 5 exons.
UGACCAUCGGUGCACUCAGACUCUGGUUUGCUUCUGUUCACAGAGUGAAUGGGAAACAUCUAGAGGUAGGGACCUGCUCCAAACCAAUUUACUGCCUCAUUAACAGCUCGAUGUGCGAUACACAUCACGUAACAACUCACUGAGGUGAAAGCAACCUGAGAGACCCUGUACAUAUUUGAGCAAAAUCCUUCCUUGCCCCAACAAGUUUAUUUUGAAAUGUCCUGAAGGGCUGAGACAGCAGAGAGAGCUCAGCACUGAAAAAAUGUAAAGUGAAUGCAAGCUGAAAUUAUGCAAUUGGUCUCCCUUCAAGAAAAGAAAUUGCAAGGAAAAGAGAAGAUGCUGUUGGGCAUACAAAUUCACAAAGUGGAACUGCUGGAAACAGCCUUCAGGGGGUGCCCGUGGCUUACGACAGCUUCAAAGUGGUGGGCGAGGUCGGGGACGUUUACGACCACCAAGGGCUCAUCCACCUGAACAUCGAGGCGGACUUCAUCUUCAGCCUCUAGAAAGGGAAAAAAAACUGAUGGGUGUAAUUAAUAAAGUGGCCCCUAGUCAUAUUGGCUGCCUGAUCCAUGGGUGCUUUAAUGCUUCUAUCCCCAAGGCUGAACGAAUGUCUAUUGUAGAGUGGCAGGAGCUGGGGUUGAAAAUAGGGGAUGAACUGAAAUUUGAAGUAUUGCAUUUGGAUU